RNAcentral lists this ribosomal RNA (429 nucleotides) under Chloroflexota bacterium. RNAcentral's name for it is "Chloroflexi bacterium partial 16S ribosomal RNA". It matches the Rfam family "Bacterial small subunit ribosomal RNA", at positions 355 to 776 of the family's 1533-position model. The record is from RNAcentral. Lineage: Bacteria; Bacillati; Chloroflexota.
UGGGGAAUAUUGCACAAUGGGCGCAAGCCUGAUGCAGCCAUGCCGCGUGUAUGAAGAAGGCCUUCGGGUUGUAAAGUACUUUCAGUCGGGAGGAAGGUGGUAAGGUUAAUAACCUUAUCAAUUGACGUUACCGACAGAAGAAGCACCGGCUAACUCCGUGCCAGCAGCCGCGGUAAUACGGAGGGUGCAAGCGUUAAUCGGAAUUACUGGGCGUAAAGCGCACGCAGGCGGUUGAUUGAGUCAGAUGUGAAAUCCCCGGGCUUAACCCGGGAAUUGCAUCUGAUACUGGUCAGCUAGAGUCUUGUAGAGGGGGGUAGAAUUCCAUGUGUAGCGGUGAAAUGCGUAGAGAUGUGGAGGAAUACCGGUGGCGUAGGCGGCCCCCUGGACAAAGACUGACGCUCAGGUGCGAAAGCGUGGGGAGCAAACAGG